GAUGAACGCUGGCGGCGUGCCUAAUACAUGCAAGUCGAGCGAACAGACGAGGAGCUUGCUCCUCUGACGUUAGCGGCGGACGGGUGAGUAACACGUGGAUAACCUACCUAUAAGACUGGGAUAACUUCGGGAAACCGGAGCUAAUACCGGAUAAUAUAUUGAACCGCAUGGUUCAAUAGUGAAAGACGGUUUUGCUGUCACUUAUAGAUGGAUCCGCGCCGCAUUAGCUAGUUGGUAAGGUAACGGCUUACCAAGGCAACGAUGCGUAGCCGACCUGAGAGGGUGAUCGGCCACACUGGAACUGAGACACGGUCCAGACUCCUACGGGAGGCAGCAGUAGGGAAUCUUCCGCAAUGGGCGAAAGCCUGACGGAGCAACGCCGCGUGAGUGAUGAAGGUCUUCGGAUCGUAAAACUCUGUUAUUAGGGAAGAACAAAUGUGUAAGUAACUAUGCACGUCUUGACGGUACCUAAUCAGAAAGCCACGGCUAACUACGUGCCAGCAGCCGCGGUAAUACGUAGGUGGCAAGCGUUAUCCGGAAUUAUUGGGCGUAAAGCGCGCGUAGGCGGUUUUUUAAGUCUGAUGUGAAAGCCCACGGCUCAACCGUGGAGGGUCAUUGGAAACUGGAAAACUUGAGUGCAGAAGAGGAAAGUGGAAUUCCAUGUGUAGCGGUGAAAUGCGCAGAGAUAUGGAGGAACACCAGUGGCGAAGGCGACUUUCUGGUCUGUAACUGACGCUGAUGUGCGAAAGCGUGGGGAUCAAACAGGAUUAGAUACCCUGGUAGUCCACGCCGUAAACGAUGAGUGCUAAGUGUUAGGGGGUUUCCGCCCCUUAGUGCUGCAGCUAACGCAUUAAGCACUCCGCCUGGGGAGUA
Molecule: ribosomal RNA, 873 nt
Filed under: Staphylococcus sp. R-23206
Lineage: Bacteria; Bacillati; Bacillota; Bacilli; Caryophanales; Staphylococcaceae
Description: bacterial SSU rRNA
Rfam family: Bacterial small subunit ribosomal RNA
Source: RNAcentral